Molecule: long non-coding RNA, 854 nt
Organism: Oncorhynchus keta (chum salmon)
Lineage: Eukaryota; Metazoa; Chordata; Actinopteri; Salmoniformes; Salmonidae
Exons: 3
Source: RefSeq, a predicted model, not a curated record
UGAUGGAGCUGCAGCAGGUCCUGGUGGCUGUAGGGCAGGGUGCCCUCUAGGGGUCUAACUGAUGGAGCUGCAGCCAGUCCUGGUGGCUAUAGGACAGGGUGUCCUCUAGGUGUCUACAUGAUGGAGCUGCAGCCAGUCCUGGUGGCUGUAGGUCAGGGUGUCCUCUAGGGGCCUACCUGAUGGAGCUGCAGCCAGUCCUGGUGGCUGUAGGGCAGGGUGUCCUCUAGGGGCCUACCUGAUGGAGCUGCAGCCAGUCCUGGUGGCUGUAGGUCAGGGUGUCCUCUAGGGGCCUACCUGAUAGAGCUGCAGCCAGUCCUGGUGGCUGUAGGUCAGGGUGUCCUCUAGGGGCCUACCUGAUGGAGCUGCAGCCAGUCCUGGUGGCUGUAGGGCAGGGUGUCCUCUAGGGGCCUACCUGAUGGAGCUGCAGCCAGUCCUGGUGGCUGUAGGUCAGGGUGUCCUCUAGGGGCCUACCUGAUGGAGCUGCAGCCAGUCCUGGUGGCUGUAGGUCAGGGUGUCCUCUAGGGGCCUACCUGAUGGAGCUGCAGCCAGUCCUGGUGGCUGUAGGGCAGGGUGUCCUCUAGGGGCCUACCUGAUGGAGCUGCAGCCAGUCCUGGUGGCUGUAGGGCAGGGUGUCCUCUAGGGGCCUACCUGAUGGAGCUGCAGCCAGUCCUGGUGGCUGUAGGGCAGGGUGUCCUCUAGGGGCCUACCUGAUGGAGCUGCAGCCAGUCCUGGUGGCUGUAGGGCAGGGUGUCCUCUAGGGGCCUACCUGAUGGAGCUGCAGCCAGUCCUGGUGGCUGUAGGGCAGGGUGUCCUCUAGGGGCCUACCUGAUGGAGCUGCAGCCAGUCCUGGUGGC